This 1213-nucleotide ribosomal RNA is filed under the name metagenome. Its description in RNAcentral is "bacterial SSU rRNA". It matches the Rfam family "Bacterial small subunit ribosomal RNA", at positions 80 to 1268 of the family's 1533-position model. The record is from RNAcentral.
CGGUUUCUGUACGGAGCGGCGAAAGGGUGAGUAAUGCGUAGGCAAUCUACCCGAGAGCCCGGGGUAACUACUGGAAACGGUGGCUAAUACCGGAUGGCCCUGGUUGGUGGCAUCACCGACCUGGUAAAGGGGGGGACCUUCGGACCUCUCUCUCUCGGAGGAGCCUACGUCCUAUCAGCUAGUUGGUGGGGUAACGGCCCACCAAGGCGAUGACGGGUAGCCGGGCUGAGAGGUUGGCCGGCCACACUGGGACUGAGACACUGCCCAGACUCCUACGGGAGGCUGCAGUCGAGAAUCAUCCGCAAUGGGCGAAAGCCUGACGGUGCAACGCCGCGUGGAGGACGAAGGCCUUCGGGUUGUAAACUCCUGUCACGUGAUGAGAAAUGCAGGAUGCUAACAUCAUCCUGUCUGACAACUCAUGAGAGGAAGUCACGGCUAACUCUGUGCCAGCAGCCGCGGUAAUACAGAGGUGGCAAGCGUUGUUCGGAAUCACUGGGCAUAAAGGGCGCGUAGGCGGUCGAUUUAGUCGGUUGUGAAAGCCCUCGGCUCAACCGAGGAACUGCAUCCGAUACUGGUCGGCUAGAGUGUGGAAGGGGAGAGUGGAACUCCUGGUGGAGCGGUGAAAUGCGUAGAUAUCAGGAGGAACGCCGGUGGCGAAAGCGACUCUCUGGUCCAUAACUGACGCUGAGGCGCGAAAGCCAGGGGAGCAAACGGGAUUAGAUACCCCGGUAGUCCUGGCCCUAAACGAUGGGCACUAGGUAGUGGGGGGUCCGAUCUUCUCACUGCCGGAGCAAAUGUGUUAAGUGCCCCGCCUGGGGAGUACAGUCGCAAGGCCGAAACUCAAAGGAAUUGACGGGGGCUCACACAAGCGGUGGAGGAUGUUGCUUAAUUCGAAGCAACGCGAAGAACCUUACCUGGGCUUGACAUGGAUGUGGUACGGACCCGAAAGGGCGAGGACCCGGUUUUCCGGGAGCAUUCACAGGUGUUGCAUGGCUGUCGUCAGCUCGUGUCGUGAGAUGUUGGGUUAAGUCCCGUAACGAGCGAGACCCUUAUCGUUAGUUGCCAGCGGGUAAUGCCGGGGACUCUAGCGAGACUGCCGGUGUCAAACCGGAGGAAGGUGGGGACGACGUCAAGUCAUCAUGGCCCUUACGCCCAGGGCUGCAAACGUCCUACAAUGGUCGGUACAAAGGGAUGCAAUACCGCAAGGUGGAGC